CAUCAUUCUUAAGCAUGGCUUCCAAUGCUUCGAUUCCCAUUCAAGGUCGAUAAUUUUAAUCUCCUUCUGUCUCUUCCUUCCUCCAUGUCGCGGUUGCUAUUUUUUUUCGUUGUAAUAGAAGAUUAAUACCUCUGUACUCAACAAAGCCAAAACCGACGGACCGCCACCGCAACCCAUCUCCACUGGCAAUUCUCAUCUCCCUCUAAAAAAAAACCCAGCUGCCCAGCGCAAUUCCGCCAAGGCACGCCCAACACCAACAUAGCCAUUGAACCAGUUACCAACAUAACCACCAAACCGCGGCAUAGCCGAUAACAACGAAACGAUCCGGCUGCCAGAAGCGGG
This is a long non-coding RNA of Populus euphratica (Euphrates poplar), 342 nucleotides long. RefSeq lists it as uncharacterized. NCBI's taxonomy places the organism in Eukaryota, Viridiplantae, Streptophyta, Magnoliopsida, Malpighiales, Salicaceae. The transcript is spliced from 2 exons. The record is from RefSeq and is a predicted model, not a curated record.